AGCUCAAUGAUUUCAACCAGUCGCUCUGGUUAUAUACGCUAUUCUGAUUGGAGUUGUUGAAAAAAAAUAGUAUUUAUGAGAGCU
Small nucleolar RNA from Phragmites australis (common reed), 84 nucleotides. RefSeq annotates it as small nucleolar RNA U54. The transcript has a single exon. The record is from RefSeq and is a predicted model, not a curated record. NCBI's taxonomy places the organism in Eukaryota, Viridiplantae, Streptophyta, Magnoliopsida, Poales, Poaceae.